RNAcentral lists this ribosomal RNA (497 nucleotides) under uncultured bacterium. RNAcentral's name for it is "partial 16S ribosomal RNA". It matches the Rfam family "Bacterial small subunit ribosomal RNA", at positions 28 to 507 of the family's 1533-position model. The record is from RNAcentral.
GAUGAACGCUGGCGGCGUGCCUAAUACAUGCAAGUCGAGCGAACAGAUGAGGAGCUUGCUCCUCUGACGUUAGCGGCGGACGGGUGAGUAACACGUGGAUAACCUACCUAUAUGACUGGGAUAAUUUCGGGAAACCGGAGCUAAUACCGGAUAAUAUAUUGAACCGCAUGGUUCAAUAGUGAAAGACGGUUUUGCUGUCACUUCUAGAUGGAUCCGCGCCGCAUUAGCUAGUUGGUAAGGUAACGGCUUACCAAGGCAACGAUGCGUAGCCGACCGGAGAGGGUGAUAGGCCACACUGGAACGGGGACACGGUCCAGACUCCUGCGGGAGGCAGCAGUAGGGAAUCUUCCGCAAUGGGCGAAAGCCUGACGGAGCAACGCCGCGUGAGUGAUGAAGGUCUUCGGAUCGUAAAGCUCUGUUAUUAGGGAAGAACAAAUGUGUAAGUAACUAUGCACGUCUUGACGGUACCUAAUCAGAAAGCCACGGCUAACUACGUG